GACGAACGCUGGCGGCGUGCUUAACACAUGCAAGUCGAACGGAAAGGCCCUGCUUUUGUGGGGUGCUCGAGUGGCGAACGGGUGAGUAACACGUGAGUAACCUGCCCUUGACUUUGGGAUAACUUCAGGAAACUGGGGCUCAUACCGGAUAGGAGCUCCUGCUGCAUGGUGGGGGUUGGAAAGUUUCGGCGGUUGUGGAUGGACUCGCGGCUUAUCAGCUUGUUGGUGGGGUAGUGGCUUACCAAGGCUUUGACGGGUAGCCGGCCUGAGAGGGUGACCGGCCACAUUGGGACUAAGAUACGGCCCAGACUCCAACGGGAGGCAGCAGUGGAGAGUAUGGCACAAUGGGCGGAAGCCUGAUGCAGCAACGCCGCGUGCGGGAUGACGGCCUUCGGGUUGUAAACCGCUUUCGCCUGUGACGAAGCGUGAGUGACGGUAAUGGGUAAAGAAGCACCGGCUAACUACGUG
This 468-nucleotide ribosomal RNA is filed under the name uncultured bacterium. RNAcentral describes it as "partial 16S ribosomal RNA". It matches the Rfam family "Bacterial small subunit ribosomal RNA", at positions 28 to 507 of the family's 1533-position model. The record is from RNAcentral.